AAGUCGUAACAAGGUUUCCGUAGGUGAACCUGCGGAAGAAUCAUUACAAAUUUUGGCGAAAUUCCUCGCCAUUUUUUUUCGUAUUUAAAACAUCCCGCUCUUGUAAAAAAAAAUUUUUUUUAAUUGUAAUAUAAAAAAAAGAUCACUUUCAACAACGGAUCUCUUGGCUCUC
Molecule: unclassified non-coding RNA, 172 nt
Filed under: fungal sp.
Lineage: Eukaryota; Fungi
Description: partial internal transcribed spacer region
Rfam family: Eukaryotic small subunit ribosomal RNA (bases 1-46)
Source: RNAcentral